RNAcentral lists this ribosomal RNA (253 nucleotides) under uncultured bacterium. Its description in RNAcentral is "partial 16S ribosomal RNA". It matches the Rfam family "Bacterial small subunit ribosomal RNA", at positions 524 to 776 of the family's 1533-position model. The record is from RNAcentral.
UACGGAAGGGGCUAGCGUUGUUCGGAUUUACUGGGCGUAAAGCGCGCGUAGGCGGCUGACCAAGUGAGGCGUGAAAGCCCCGGGCUCAACCUGGGAACCGCGCUUCAGACUGGUCGGCUCGAGUCCGGGAGAGGGUGGUGGAAUUCCCAGUGUAGAGGUGAAAUUCGUAGAUAUUGGGAAGAACACCGGUGGCGAAGGCGGCCACCUGGCCCGGUACUGACGCUACAGCGCGAAAGCGUGGGGAGCAAACAGG